This 292-nucleotide ribosomal RNA is filed under the name Escherichia coli. RNAcentral describes it as "partial 23S ribosomal RNA". It matches the Rfam family "Bacterial large subunit ribosomal RNA", at positions 1088 to 1378 of the family's 2925-position model. Lineage: Bacteria; Pseudomonadati; Pseudomonadota; Gammaproteobacteria; Enterobacterales; Enterobacteriaceae. The record is from RNAcentral.
GACAGCCAGGAUGUUGGCUUAGAAGCAGCCAUCAUUUAAAGAAAGCGUAAUAGCUCACUGGUCGAGUCGGCCUGCGCGGAAGAUGUAACGGGGCUAAACCAUGCACCGAAGCUGCGGCAGCGACGCUUAUGCGUUGUUGGGUAGGGGAGCGUUCUGUAAGCCUGUGAAGGUGUACUGUGAGGUAUGCUGGAGGUAUCAGAAGUGCGAAUGCUGACAUAAGUAACGAUAAAGCGGGUGAAAAGCCCGCUCGCCAGAAGACCAAGGGUUCCUGUCCAACGUUAAUCGGGGCAGG